CACCAACCCAGAAGGACCCCCAGGAAAAAUGGGUCUCUUCAGAUCUACUCACCAACCCAGAAUCCAGGGGAAGAGACUCUCCAAGGAACCAAGGAAGGAGAAAGAGCUGAUGAUGAACUGAGGAAAACAGGGUCAAGUGACUCACUCCAGAGUCACAUAGCUACACUCAGAUAUUUCUGGUCUGAAGCACAAAGAAAUGAAAUGAUUUAUCUAAGGUCACCCAAGGAAAAUAUCUAAGGUAAGAUUUUAACCCAGGACUUCCUGGCCCUAAAAGAUAGCUCUAACCACUGUGUCAAGCUAGCUCUCCUGUGUAUAUAGCUAAAUAAAUGUAAAUUAAUAUGGAAUGUAAAUAUUUAC
This 357-nucleotide long non-coding RNA is filed under the name Monodelphis domestica (gray short-tailed opossum). RNAcentral describes it as "lncRNA (ENSMODG00000050879.1)". Lineage: Eukaryota; Metazoa; Chordata; Mammalia; Didelphimorphia; Didelphidae. The record is from RNAcentral.